This 269-nucleotide ribosomal RNA is filed under the name uncultured prokaryote. Its description in RNAcentral is "partial 16S ribosomal RNA". It matches the Rfam family "Bacterial small subunit ribosomal RNA", at positions 524 to 792 of the family's 1533-position model. The record is from RNAcentral.
UACGGAGGGUGCAAGCGUUAUCCGGAUUUAUUGGGUUUAAAGGGUGCGUAGGCGGCUUUUUAAGUCGGCGGUGAAAUUUUGCAGCUUAACUGUAACAGUGCCGUUGAUACUGGGGAGCUAGGAUUUGGUUGCUGUGGGUGGAAUGUGUGGUGUAGCGGUGAAAUGCUUAGAGAUCACACAGAAUAUCGAUUGCGAAGGCAGCUCACAAAGCCAAGAUUGACGCUGAGGCACGAAAGUGUGGGGAUCAAACAGGAUUAGAUACCCCCGUA